This 402-nucleotide unclassified non-coding RNA is filed under the name soil metagenome. RNAcentral's name for it is "partial contains 5.8S ribosomal RNA, internal transcribed spacer 2, and large subunit ribosomal RNA". The stretch from base 1 to 120 matches the Rfam family "5.8S ribosomal RNA", at positions 35 to 154 of the family's 154-position model. The record is from RNAcentral.
GAUGAAGAACGUAGCGAAAUGCGAUAAGUAAUGUGAAUUGCAGAAUUCAGUGAAUCAUCGAAUCUUUGAACGCACCUUGCGCUCCUUGGUAUUCCGAGGAGCAUGCCUGUUUGAGUGUCAUUUAAUUCUCAACCCCUCCGGUUUUCUUAAGCUGGCUAGGUGGUUUGGAUGUGGGGGAAUUCAUAUGCGGGCCUCUUCAGAGGUCGGCUCCUCUGAAAUGCAUUAGCGGAACCGUUUGCGGUACUGUCACUGGUGUGAUAACUAUCUACGCCAAAGGACGUCUGCUCUCUGGUAGUUCUGCUUCAAAUUGUCCCUCUGCUUGGGACAACGAAUAAUUCAAAUGCUUGACCUCAAAUCAGGUAGGACUACCCGCUGAACUUAAGCAUAUCAAUAAGCGGAGGA